This is a long non-coding RNA of Camelus dromedarius (Arabian camel), 998 nucleotides long. RefSeq lists it as uncharacterized. The transcript is spliced from 4 exons. Lineage: Eukaryota; Metazoa; Chordata; Mammalia; Artiodactyla; Camelidae. The record is from RefSeq and is a predicted model, not a curated record.
CUUCAUUUCAGGAACUCAGGAAGCUUCUGGAAGUGGGAGGAUUUGCCCCAUUGUUGGUGAACAGAAGGGACUGGAUCAAGUCCCCACAGAGAGGAAGCAGCAGAGUGAAGAUUCAGCCCAUCUGUCCGACCCACGCUGGUCCCUGACUCAGAUUUGAGGCCGCCCUCCUUGAAGCUCCAAGAUGCACGGACCCCAGGACCCUUUCCAAUUCCCUCCCUGUCACUAGGAGGGUGGCCGCCACAAAGGAAGGAUGAACGAGAAGUGGGAACAGAUGAGGACGAGCCAGGGAAGUUACAAGGACAGACCUGCCGAAGUGACCUUCAGGAGAAGGCGGUGUCACUCAUCACAGAACAGGCACUUGCCCAGGAUUCAGAGAAGCUGAAAGCAGAUGCACAGGAGCUGGAGGCUGCAGGCUCGCUGUUGCCCCACACCUGCCAGGGCACCGUCUCGAAGUCGUUUCUGAUUAGAAGUUGACCUCAGAAAUAUGCUCGCAUCAUUUUGAAAACAUCUCCCAGCACCACAGAAACCGACGCAGAAUGGGAAAGGACACUGAGGGGACCAAGGCCAGGACCCGGGCCUUCCCACAAGGCUCUCAGGGUAUCGCUGGCCUGGAUCAAAGUUGGGAUGCGAUCACCGUCAUGACGCCGGAUACAUUCAUGGACCUGGGGCCAGCUGGGAGUGACAGGGAUGACUGUCACCAUCGUGGUUGUCAGCUAAUGUUACUGAGUCCUUACUACAGACCCUGCGGUUCUAAAGAGUCAUCCGUUCUUGCGGCAUCCUCUCAGGCAGGGACCAUUGGAGUUUGAGGUCCGAGUGGCGUUGUCAGGUACCGGUCUGGAGAGGGCAGGUCAGUGUGUAAGAUCAAUGCCCUUGGGAGGGACUACCUAGUGGGUAAAGUCAGUGGUCUCAUUAGGAACACAAACUCCCAGCUAAGCCUGCUCAGCCCUGAGGCAGAAGCUGUGAACCCAGCGAGGUGGGAGAGGGUGGCCAGAGGCAGU